Molecule: ribosomal RNA, 510 nt
Filed under: uncultured bacterium
Lineage: Bacteria
Description: partial 16S ribosomal RNA
Rfam family: Bacterial small subunit ribosomal RNA
Source: RNAcentral
GACGAACGCUGGCGGCGUGCUUAACACAUGCAAGUCGAACGAAGAGCGAUGGAAGCUUGCUUCUAUCAAUCUUAGUGGCGAACGGGUGAGUAACGCGUAAUCAACCUGCCCUUCAGAGGGGGACAACAGUUGGAAACGACUGCUAAUACCGCAUACGAUCCAAUCUCGGCAUCGGGACUGGAUGAAAGGUGGCCUCUAUUUAUAAGCUAUCACUGAAGGAGGGGAUUGCGUCUGAUUAGCUAGUUGGAGGGGUAACGGCCCACCAAGGCGAUGAUCAGUAGCCGGUCUGAGAGGAUGAACGGCCACAUUGGGACUGAGACACGGCCCAGACUCCUACGGGAGGCAGCAGUGGGGAAUCUUCCGCAAUGGACGAAAGUCUGACGGAGCAACGCCGCGUGAGUGAUGACGGCCUUCGGGUUGUAAAGCUCUGUUAAUCGGGACGAAUGGUUCUUGUGCGAAUAGUGCGAGGAUUUGACGGUACCGGAAUAGAAAGCCACGGCUAACUACGUG